This 29-nucleotide non-coding RNA is filed under the name Mus musculus (house mouse). The record is from RNAcentral. Lineage: Eukaryota; Metazoa; Chordata; Mammalia; Rodentia; Muridae.
UCCAGAAGAUGUAAUUUGCCACUGUGUGC